UUUCAACUCACUCAAUUAUUGCCUCUCUCCAUUCAAUCUCAACCAUGUCUUCCACACUCUCUCAGGGUAAGCUGAAAACAUCUUUCUUCUUCAAGUUUGGAUUGUUCAUUUUGUUGCAGACUAGUUAUGCAAGCUCGUUUAAGAAGGUGGAAGCUUCGGCGUUGCCUUUCAACAUCUUGGACACGAACAAUAAUGGACCGCAGAAGCUCACAAAAGGAGUAGUUGAUGUAGGGCAUGGUGGCAAGGUUCCUGUGACUCCUUUAGUGCUCGAACACGCCUUGAGGCCUCCCACGAAUCUAUACACGGCUGAUGCACCUCAUACAGCCACCGUUCUCUCUGUCGAGAAGAUUACCGGUGAAAACGCUUCUACAGAGAUUUACCACAUCGUGUUUGAUCAUGGUCGCUUUCUUCCUCACUGGGAGGGACAAGUUUUCGGUGUAAUGCCCGCGCCCAAAAAUCCUUUCGAUAUUGGAAAUUCGUCAAACAUUAGAUACUUUUCCGCAGCUUCUUCAAGAUAUGGAGAUACGUUUAAUGGUGUAUAUGUCUGGUGAAGAAGAUACACAAGAUCAAUUACAAAAAAUCAAAGAUUAUCUCGAGGCAUCGUUCGUGUCACACAAUACCAUAACUAUCACUGAUAAUCCACUCUUUCAGCAUCAUUAUCAACGUGUAGAGUCUGUUAAAGAGCCAUUAUUAUCUGACAACAAAUCUAAUUCUGACGAUUCAGUUUGAUCUUAUAGAACAAUGGCCCAGCAAAGGACGUUGAAUGAGUUGGCAGUGCCAGAUCUUGACCAACAACUGCUUUGCAUUCAAUAUCCACCUUUAAAUGUCAACUUUGAGUUGAAGUCGGGCCUCAUUCACUUAUUUACCUCUUUCCAUGGGUUGGCCGGUGAGGACCCGAAUAAACAUUUGAAGGAGUUUCAUAUUGUCUGUUCUAGUAUGAAACCUGUUGCAGUGACUGAAGAACAUAUUAAGCUACGAGCGUUUCCUUUCUCCCUGAAGGAUGAAGCUAAAAAGUGGAUGUACUAUUUUCCACCCGGUACUUUUGAAACCUGGAAUGGUACGAAGACUAUGUUCUUGGAAUGAUAUUUUCCAGCAUCUAAAGUAGGAAUCAUCAGGAAAGAGAUCUGAGGUAAUAUACAGCGGAGUCAUUGUAUGAAUAUUGGGAGAGGUUUAAGCGAUUAUGUGCUAGGUGCCCUCAUCAUCAGAUAAAUGAACAACUCCUAAUCCAGUACUUUUAUGAAUAGGAGUAUGAUUGAUGCAGCUAGUGAGGGUGCACUAGUUGAUAAGACUCCUGCUGCAGCCAGGAGCUUGAUUUUUAAUAUGGCUGCCAACUCACAACAGUUUGGCAUUUUCCAAGAUCCUAAUCCACCACCAAAGAUAGUUAAUGAGCUGAGUAAUUCCAACGAAAACCAUCUUGGUCAUCAACUGGCUCAAUUAAUAUUAGUGGUACAACAACUUGCUUUAGGCCAACAGGUGUGUCCAUGUGGAAUAUGUCAAGUUGUGGAGCAUGUUACUGAUACUUGAUCUACUCUAUUUGAGGGAGAGACCGAGGGUGUUAAUGCUCAAAAAGUCUUUAGACGAGACGACAAGCACUUCAACACAGCAAAGACUUCGAUAAAUCAUCGACUCAAUUGCAGAGGUAAGGUGAUGCUUUGUUGCCCGACGCUCUGGUUUAGUCUCUCCAAAGCUCCCGAGCCUACCACGAACUCAAGCCGAUACCGUGUGACGAGAAGUUCUCCAUCAAACCGUGUGGCUGCAUGCACAAUGGUGCUCAUCGAAGUGGAAAGGCCAAGGGGUGGUGGGUGGUGGCUCUCGUCGAACGGAAGCCAGAGUCGUGGUGACUGUGGAGUUGUCCUGUUGGUGGCUUUGUCGUUGGAGGAGAAAACCGAGCCUCUCAGUGGUGCUACGAAAUUCACGUCGAAGAAGAGGGAGACUCAACCUGUAAAUAAUUAACAUAUAUACUAUUAGUUACAUAACUUAAAAUAAAUAACAAACAAAAUCUGUCGAGCUACUACCGUCGGUGCCAUGCAGAAUUGACUCUACCUCCACGUUGCUCACGUUCUCUCCGCCACUUAUAGAGCAUCGCCAAGAGGCCUCAUAUCCCCCAUCUCAUCUCCUCUCACAUUCAAAACUUAGAAAAGGUCUCCCUCCUUUAUUAUAUUUAUAUUCAUAUAUACAUAAUCUACUUAUUUAGUUUAUAAUUUUGAUUUGAUCGUUGA
Humulus lupulus (European hop) is the source of this 2219-nucleotide RNA transcript. It is a transcript of the gene named ferredoxin--NADP reductase, root-type isozyme, chloroplastic-like, with no coding region annotated. The record is from RefSeq and is a predicted model, not a curated record. Lineage: Eukaryota; Viridiplantae; Streptophyta; Magnoliopsida; Rosales; Cannabaceae. The transcript is spliced from 5 exons.